RNAcentral lists this long non-coding RNA (2130 nucleotides) under Fukomys damarensis (Damara mole-rat). RNAcentral describes it as "lncRNA (ENSFDAG00000026640.1)". The record is from RNAcentral. Lineage: Eukaryota; Metazoa; Chordata; Mammalia; Rodentia; Bathyergidae.
GGGUGAUUCUCCAGAUUGCAGAGCCUACCUGUUCUCCAACAGACCAAUUGCAAGAUUAAAAGAUGCAGAAUAAUGUAUAGAUGAAAGGAAAUUCAAAUUCAGACAAAACUUUUGAACACUAGAUAAAAUUAUAUUUAUAGAAGCACACUUGGGUGACAAAACAAUACAGAAAUGCAAUGAACAUUUACAAUAAAAAAACUAGACUGUGGUGAGGUAUGGCAGGGCAUGCCUAUAAUCUCAGCACUCAGGAGGCUGAGGCAGGAGGACUGCUGUGAAUUUGAGACCAGCCUGAGCUACACAGUGAGUUCAAGUCCAGCUGAACCACAUAGUGAGACCCUGUCUAAAUAAAUACAUAAAUAAAAUAUAAAAAGUUGGCUAGGGCCCUGCACAAAAUGCCCAGUGAAGCCACAGAAGCCAUCCCUGCCACGGAGCAGGAGCUGCCACGGCCCCAGUCUGAGACAGGGUCUGGAACAGAAUCUGACCGUGACGAAUCAGCAGCAGAGCUGGAGGAGCAAGAUUCCACACAAGCAACCACACAACAAGGCCAGCCGGCGGCCGCAACUGCAAUCGAUGAAGAACCAGUCCGCAAAGCAAAACAAAGAAGGCACGAAAGGCACGAUGUCUGUAAGAGUCCAGCUUCAGAUGCCUACAGAGUUUGGGGGGAAGCCACGAUGGAGGAUUUGUCUCAGCAACCUCAGUCAGCAGUGAGAAAUUCAAGGUUCAAGGUGAAGCUGUCGCAGACAUUCAAGAAAAUACACAGACUCCAACUGCACGAGAGGAGGGUGAAGAGAUGGAGGUUGAUGAAACAGGCGUGGAAGUUAAGGACAGCAUUGGUUAUGGCCACAAACAAAUGUGUCGAGGGCAAAGGCAUCCGAGCCCUGAAGAACAACAGUAAUGAGACUGCAAAUGCUACUGUGGGACUAAAACAUAACCACCUGAAAGGCGGACUUUUUUUGGUGUUUCAAAAAGGUCACUGCAGCUUGGUUUGAAAUUUGUACUAUUUCCAUCACUAAUGAACUUAUGAACUAUUGGAUAAAAAAACAAAAAGUUGGCUAGGGAUGAUUGUUGAACUAAGGAUACAGUUGUGAUUCAAGCGUUUGGAAACAAGACCAUACAAUGACUUUAGUGAGCCCAAGGUACUUUUCCUUUUGUGGGCUCUAUCUCCACUAAAAAGCUCAUUUAAAUUGUAUUUUAUGAUAUGCCGGUUGAAGAGAAAUACAUACAUAUAUUAGCAUAUUAAAAGGAUGCAUAUUUCAGAAUUGUUUCUUAAAAUAAAUUAAGGAAUUUUUAUGGGCCCUUAAAAUAAAUAAAAACAUUUUAGAAAACAUAACUAUAUUUUGUAACCCCUUAAGUACUGCAUGCCCUACACACUCUGCCUGCCAGGCCUAAGGAAUAUAUCAACCUUGCUUCUGAGGUGGCUGGUCUGGUGAUCAUCACAGGCGCAUUUUCUUUAUUCAAAGCUGUUUUAAAACUCUGUGUGUGUGUGUGUGUGUGUGUGUGUGUGUGUGUGUGGAAAAUAGCUGGCACUGGUGGACUUCCCUUCUGGUAAUAGCAAAUGAGGUCAUUAGAAACCAUCCUCUUUCUGCCGUGAAGGCCUCAGAGAACUAAAAUAUAGUAAGAGUUACUAAGCUAGGGUUAGCAAGGGUCAGAGAGCCAAAGAAAUUGCUUGGUCAUGGUAAUCACGUUUUUAUCCCCAGGACAUUAAUAACUUUGGAAGGGAAAGUCAAGAGGCUUGAAAGUCAAGCAAACUGAGUGAUCUUUUGGGACUGAGGGACUGAGGGAGUCCAUGACGUGCCAGGUGAGAGAAGAGCCUUGGUAAAACACGAGGUCUUGCUUGGCUUGGGAUCCUGAAGGAUUGCCCUUCUGAAAAAAAAAACUGUAAACUGUAAUACAUAAGAAUGAUCCUUGAAAAUGUUGCAAUCUACUCCUGCUGGAAGUAAAUGUAUGGCCUUUCUGUAGAAAGAUCUUAUAUUCUAAACUUCAAAGACUUGCUACAAGCAAUUUUGCAAAUGCACUUCCUCAUAGUAACCAAAAAUAACCUGGCAAAUUAUGAGACAACAGAACAGAAAAAUGGAACAACAUGCAGUAGGAAAAAAUCUAUAGGGACUCUUGCUGCAGUUGUGAGUGACC